Molecule: non-coding RNA, 204 nt
Filed under: unclassified sequences
Description: raiA RNA
Rfam family: raiA RNA
Source: Rfam by way of RNAcentral
UUGAGUCGGGUCUGUGGUUGCAAGUCGAAGCCAGUCGCAGGCAAAACGAUCCACAUAAGCGGAACAAAGCUUCCGUGAGCAUGGUGCGGCUUAGAUGUAAGUCCUGUCGGGCGACCGAGAGGGGCAGUAGUGGGCAGCGUAAAGCUUAGUAGCGAACCCUCCAACAGGCGAGUGUGGGGGCAAAGACCAGGUCAGCCGAUCCGA